This 839-nucleotide ribosomal RNA is filed under the name uncultured archaeon. Its description in RNAcentral is "bacterial SSU rRNA". It matches the Rfam family "Archaeal small subunit ribosomal RNA", at positions 4 to 843 of the family's 1478-position model. The record is from RNAcentral.
UCGGUUGAUCCUGCCGGAGGUUACUGCUAUCGGAGUUCGAUUAAGCCAUGCGAGUCUAAAGGUUUCUUCGGAAACCUUGGCGGACUGCUCAGUAACACGUGGAUAACCUACCCUUGGGACUGGAAUAACCCCGGGAAACUGGGGAUAAUACCGGAUAGAUCAGGGAUGCUGGAAUGCACCUUGAUCCAAAGCUCCGGCGCCCAAGGAUGGGUCUGCGGCCUAUCAGGUAGUAGUGGGUGUAACGUACCUACUAGCCAACGACGGGUACGGGUUGUGAGAGCAAGAGCCCGGAGAUGGAUUCUGAGACACGAAUCCAGGCCCUACGGGGUGCAGCAGGCGCGAAACCUUUACAAUGUGCGAAAGCAUGAUAAGGGAACUCCGAGUGCCAGCAUCUAAUGUUGGCUGUCCUUGUGCCUAAAACGCACAAGAUAGCAAGGGCCGGGUAAGACCGGUGCCAGCCGCCGCGGUAACACCGGCGGCCCGAGUGGUAGCCGCUAUUAUUGGGUCUAAAGGGUCCGUAGCCGGUUCGAUAAGUCCUCUGGGAAAUCUGGUUGCUUAACAAUCAGACUGCCAAGGGAUACUGUCGAACUUGAGACCGGGAGAGGUAAGAGGUACUUCAGGGGUAGGAGUGAAAUCUUGUAAUCCCUGGGGGACCAUCUGUGGCGAANGCGUCUUACCAGAACGGGUCUGACGGUGAGGGACGAAAGCUGGGGGCGCAAACCGGANUAGAUACCCGGGUAGUCCCAGCCGUAAACGAUGCUCGCUAUGUGUCNNNACGGUGUGACCGUAUCUGGUGCCGUAGGGAANCUGUGAAGCGAGCCACCUGGGAANUACGGCCG